This 408-nucleotide ribosomal RNA is filed under the name uncultured bacterium. RNAcentral's name for it is "partial 16S ribosomal RNA". It matches the Rfam family "Bacterial small subunit ribosomal RNA", at positions 28 to 526 of the family's 1533-position model. The record is from RNAcentral.
GACGAACGCUGGCGGCGUGCUUAACACAUGCAAGUCGAACGAAGUGGCGAACGGGUGAGUAAUACGUGGGUAACCUGCCCUCCUUUUUGGGAUAAGCCUUGGAAACGGGGUCUAAUACCGAAAAAAGGGGGAUGGGCUCGCGGCCUAUCAGCUUGUUGGUGGGGUGAUGGCCUACCAAGGCGGUGACGGGGAGGCGGCCUGAGAGGGUGACCGGCCACAUUGGGACUGAGAUACGGCCCAGACUCCUACGGGAGGCAGCAGGGGGGGGUAUUGCACAAUGGGCGAAAGCCUGAUGCAGCGACGCCGCGUGUGUGAAGAAGGUCUUCGGAUUGUAAAGCACUUUAAGUUGGGAAGCGUUACCAACAGAAUAAGCACCGGCUAACUUCGUGCCAGCCGCCGCGGUAAUAC